Long non-coding RNA from Cucumis melo (muskmelon), 876 nucleotides. RefSeq lists it as uncharacterized. The record is from RefSeq and is a predicted model, not a curated record. Lineage: Eukaryota; Viridiplantae; Streptophyta; Magnoliopsida; Cucurbitales; Cucurbitaceae. The transcript has 2 exons.
CCCAUUUUUGUAGUCUUUGUCAUUCACGAUACAAGGAGCAAAACCCCUAAUCCCGCAUUGACAAAAUCCCUUUGCGGUGCCCUCCGUCCGUCUUUAUCUCUAUCCGCCGUUAUUUCUAUCCGUCGUGCCCUCCUCCGUCAUGCUCUCAUUCGUCGUGCCCUCCUCCUUGCGUUAGCCAUCAUCUUUAUCCGUCGUGCCCUCCUUAGUCUAUUCCUUCGUCGGCCGUCUUCUACCAUUUUCGUUCGACGCGGUGCACUUAUGGGAACGAAUUCAUGGUUUCCGUCCGUUCGUCUGGUGCUUCGUCGCGGUGAACGUCCUCGGUCGUCAUUCAACCUAUAGGAAUGAUUAGGUUGGUUCCGAAACACCCCCUCGGUUAACAGAAGAUUUCUUCAAGCCGAUUUCUCUGUUUUUAACUAUGUUGAGGUAAGGCGUUAAAACGCUUACCUUACUACGCCUUACCAAAUGUCCCUUUUCUUCUUCUUCUUCCGAUGUUCAACUUUGUAGCUGCCGCCUUCAAAAGCCUUUAAUACUUAGGCAGAUGUCGCAGUAGAAGAACGAGUUUUACACAGGUCGCUUAACUCCUCAAUGUCACUUAACAAACUCUCGUAGCUUGAAGAAUUUAAGAAGAGGAAGCUUGGUGCUAGAAACACCGAGUGGAAAUGUUUGCGAUGUCGAGGAUUGUUCCGGCAAAUUUGGAGGAAAAAAUUGGUGUGGCUUUUAGUUUUUCGUUGUUUUGGUUCAAUUUUAGUUUGCGAUGCAUAAAAAUGGUUGUGUUAUGGUAUUGUACUUGAUAAAUGUUUAUAUAGUUAAAAAGUAACUGUGUUUAACUAUUGUAUUAGACAACUGAUAAUAUCUAAGAUCUGUUUUCUUUUGCAA